RNAcentral lists this ribosomal RNA (324 nucleotides) under uncultured eukaryote. Its description in RNAcentral is "partial 18S ribosomal RNA". It matches the Rfam family "Eukaryotic small subunit ribosomal RNA", at positions 1470 to 1796 of the family's 1831-position model. The record is from RNAcentral.
CCCUUAGAUGUUCUGGGCCGCACGCGCGCUACACUGACGAUGGCAACGAGUUUUUCCUUCGCCGAAAGGUGUGGGUAAUCUUUUGAAACAUCGUCGUGCUGGGGAUAGAUCAUUGCAAUUUUUGAUCUUGAACGAGGAAUUCCUAGUAAGCGCGAGUCAUCAGCUCGCGUUGAUUACGUCCCUGCCCUUUGUACACACCGCCCGUCGCUACUACCGAUUGAAUGAUCCGGUGAAUAAUUCGGACUGACGCAGUGCUCAGCUUCUGGACGUUGCGUCGGAAAGUUUCAUGAACCUUAUCACUUAGAGGAAGGAGAAGUCGUAACA